This is a non-coding RNA of Podarcis lilfordi (Lilford's wall lizard), 68 nucleotides long. The record is from the annotation of a GenBank genome assembly. NCBI's taxonomy places the organism in Eukaryota, Metazoa, Chordata, Lepidosauria, Squamata, Lacertidae.
GCAAGCUCAGUUGGUACAGCAUGAGACUCCGAAUCUCAGGGCCAUGGGUUCGAGCUCCACAUUGGGCA